Long non-coding RNA from Passer domesticus (house sparrow), 2050 nucleotides. RefSeq lists it as uncharacterized. NCBI's taxonomy places the organism in Eukaryota, Metazoa, Chordata, Aves, Passeriformes, Passeridae. The record is from RefSeq and is a predicted model, not a curated record. The transcript is spliced from 3 exons.
AGCAGAAGGGCCCUCGGGAGCCCCCAGACCUACAGGCAGGGUGGCAGAGGAGAGCGCCCAGACUGCAGGAGCAGCGCCCUUCCACAGGCAGCCUGGAACAAGAAUUGGUCUCACCAACUACCCUGGAGUUAGGUGACAGAACUACUUUCCUGAGGAAGAGCUGGCAGGCUGUGGGACUCCGGGCAUGCCUGAACAUUUCUCAAGGAAGAGACCAGUGGGACUAGUGAGCUCUGGAGAGAUGAGCUACAAGUCAUUUCCAGUUAAAUAUGGGAUUCACAUCCUGUACACAGACUGAUGCAGGAGCAGGAAUGAAAAUUUACGAGGAACUCGUGUUCAAAAGAUCAUCUACCUUCAAAACAUAUACCAGCAUUUAACUUUGUUAGUGAUCAACCACAAACAACUGCAUGCAUGCACAUACAUCUUGGUAUAACAUAACAUACACAAUCACAACUUUGUUUUCCUUCAGUGAAAUGCAAGCAUUUAAACAUUGUUACAAAUACAACCCUUUGAUGCAAACAAACACUUACCCUUUUCUUGAAGCUGGACCAAAAAAAGCUUUUUGUGUUCUUUUGGCUUUGUAAUAUGAGCUGGGAUAUAUGGGUACUAGAAGAAAAAUGGUAAAAAACAGUUGUACAGAGCUUUGAAAAUAUUUUGUAACCUUAAGUGCUACUUUAUAAAUUAUCAAGUCUUUCAUGUGUCAUAUAUUGUUCUUUCAUGGCAUCAAAUAAAGAAAACCAUUUUCAUAAUAAAGUACUUAAAGAAAUGCUGUUGCUGUCACAGCUAUUGACAGGCUUUGAAGUGGCACCAAUAUCACAAGCAGUUAAAACAACCCAAUAAAACAGAAAUGUAUAUAAACAAACUAAGAAAGGAUUUUCAAUAUUAAAGCCCUUAGAAACAGGGUAGUGAGACUGGGGCAUCUGUUCCAUAAGCAGCAGUGCAAGAGUCUCCAUUGUGGCUGCAAAAGAAAUUUAAAUGGUACAUAUGUCUCAGCAUAGAACUGGAAGCUACUACAUCCAGUGGUUUCUCAUCCAUCAGGACAGGUGUGAGAAGGGAGACAGGAGUUUCCAUUUUAGAAAAAGGCUGUAGUUCCCCUUCAGUCAUAGAAAGGAGAUGAAAUAAACAAAACCCAGAAAAACUAAUUGCUCAUGCAGCAGGUACUCAAGAAGCCAAUCUGGAAGGUUGAAGGUUUUUAGAAGUACAGACAGAAAAAAGGAGAUGGAAGCCCACAGGAGUACUUACCUGUGGAGGUUCAAAGUUUGGUCUCCACCAGUUGCCAAUGCAGUCAUCAAUCACCCAGUCUUGCUGAACACCAUCCUGACGACCCAGUAUCUAUCAAAAAUCCAGUACUAAUCAGACCUCAAAGUACCUCAAGGAAAUUGUUUUAGUCAACACAUACUGGAAGCACAAAGACUUGCUGUAAUAUGUGUCUGAUGUAGUUCAUAACUGCUCUGAGACAGCUUUCAAUAGAAUUGUAGAGUAGUUUUGUAUUAAGUGAGAUUUUUUAGUAAAAGCCUCACCUGGUAGGACAAGGGCACUCUAAAAAGCUUUUCAAAAUCUAUGCUGUACUCAGCUGGACUGAGUCCUAUCAGACCAAUGGGAAGAAUGAAAUACAUUGUUACAUUAUCUAGCAGAACUAAUUUAGCUACUUGGAGAAAAUGGUGCAUUGGCAGGACUAUCUCAAAGGCAAGUCCCCAUCAGUUGUCCUCCACAACAUAUUUUAUUGCUCAUCUCUACACUCACUUGCCUGAAGCCAGUCAGAAAGCAAAGCUGCAAAUGAACACAGGACUUGAGCAGCAGGUAGGAGUCAGCCACACUCAUGAUGCAGAUAAAUGAAAACUUGACUGCUUUAUUUGUUAACUACCUGAGAACAUCACAAAAGCAACAAAAUAACAACAGUGGUAAGAAAACUACUCUAAUGCUUUAGCUUAUUCUGGUAAUUCUAAAAUAAUGCAACAUUCUGCUACAACAACACAAUGAAAGCAAACAGACCUCUGUCAUUAAGCGUUUGAGCCCUUCUACCUCAUCUUCUCCUGGAUUGAGUUCACCACCA